This 253-nucleotide ribosomal RNA is filed under the name uncultured bacterium. RNAcentral describes it as "partial 16S ribosomal RNA". It matches the Rfam family "Bacterial small subunit ribosomal RNA", at positions 524 to 776 of the family's 1533-position model. The record is from RNAcentral.
UACGAAGGGAGCUAGCGUUGUUCGGAAUUACUGGGCGUAAAGCGCACGUAGGCGGCUUUCUAAGUCGGGGGUGAAAUCCUGGAGCUCAACUCCAGAACUGCCUUCGAUACUGGAGAGCUCGAGUCCGGGAGAGGUGAGUGGAACUGCGAGUGUAGAGGUGAAAUUCGUAGAUAUUCGCAAGAACACCAGUGGCGAAGGCGGCUCACUGGCCCGGUACUGACGCUGAGGUGCGAAAGCGUGGGGAGCGAACAGG